AAGAACUUGCUGCUGACAGGUGGAAAGAAUCAAAUAAUUAGAGUCUGGAAUGCUUAUCUGCCUAAACCAACAGGUAGGCUGAGAAGCUGCAUGGCUCCAGUGAUCCACAUCCACAUAUCUGCUAAGGACAACAAAAUAUUUUCCAUGUCCACCAACAAUACGAUUAAGGUCUUCCCUCUUCUGUAUUUUGAUGCAUCCUCCAAGACAGGUUCAGAGAGGGAAGGUCUCAAAAGCCGGUGGGCUAAAGGUGAGCUCACAGCCUGCCUCUAACUCCCUGGCCCCCGAGCUGUGUGUGUGGGCACUGACACUGUUGCACUCCUGUGCCUGAGAGAGCCUCACCUGACACUUUCCCACCAAGAGCUCAUGGUGUGCUACAGGUACAACCCAGCCUUCAGGCACAUGGUCAGCUUCGCCCAAGCGUCUGUAAUGAAAAACAAAGUGAAGUCUGUGAUUGUACCUACUUGGAGGUGAACCAAACUAGGUGUAUCAUAGUUGUUGGGUGAGACAGAAGAAUAGUUGUGUAAGGACAUGCCACAUGACUUUCGUCACUUCUGGAAACCACAGCCAUGCUGGCAGGAUGACUGAACCAUAGGCACAAGGAGGACAACCUCUGUGUCCUCUCCAGUUACAACGGGGAGAUUAUUAUUUGAAAAGUCAUCUCAGGCCACAUAUCAUACAAGCUGAACACUUCCAGCCCCUCUGAUGGCCCAGCAGGCUCUCUUACCUUCUGGAGGCUAUUCUAUGAAGUGGGCCUCAUUGCAAACUUCGUGAAAGCCCCAGUCAGCAGCAUCUCGGUGACAGCAGGAGAUGCCCUUUCCUACCUGGCUAACCAGCAAGGCUUUGUGCAUGUCUAUGACAUCCAGGAGUAUGGUCUGCAGGGACAGGAGCUCCAGCCUGAAGGGCACAUGUCAGCAUGGUGACUAGUUUGGAGCUGAUAGAAGAAAAGUUUCUGCUGUCAUCCUCCCUUGACUGCACUGGGACCUUUGGGCAGAGCAGCCCCUGGGAUAUUUUCACUCCUGCCUCCUAGAGCCACCUGAGAGUCCCCUAUGAAGUUUUGACAGAUCCCCAGAGCAUGCCAGCUC
This 1082-nucleotide long non-coding RNA is filed under the name Homo sapiens (human). RNAcentral describes it as "non-protein coding lnc-B3GLCT-4:1". Lineage: Eukaryota; Metazoa; Chordata; Mammalia; Primates; Hominidae. The record is from RNAcentral.